AGCGAGAACAGCACAGCUUCUAGUCAUCAUAAAUAAGGUAUCUAACCUUGAAUACAUAGGGGUUAGAAGCGAACCUGGGGAACUGAAACAUCUAAGUACCCAGAGGAAAGGACAUCAAACGAGACUCCGCUAGUAGUGGCGAGCGACGGACCAGGCCAGUGGCUUUUGUGAAUAAGUGGAACGAGUUGGAAAACUCGACCGAAGUGGGUGAUAGUCCCGUACACGUAGAAUAGCAGAAGUCCUUGAGUAGGGCGGGACACGUGAAAUCCUGUCUGAACAUGGGUCGACCACGAUCCAAGCCUAAGUACUCGUGCAUGACCGAUAGCGAACCAGUACCGUGAGGGAAAGGUGAAAAGCACCCCGACGAGGGGAGUGAAACAGUACCUGAAACCGGAUGCCUACAAACAGUUGGAGCCCAAGGUUUGUCCUGGGUGACAGCGUACCUUUUGUAUAAUGGGUCAGCGACUUAGUGUAUCGAGCAAGCUUAAGCCGGUAGGUGUAGGCGCAGCGAAAGCGAGUCUGAACAGGGCGUUCAGUUCGAUGCAUUAGACCCGAAACCAAGUGAUCUAGCCAUGAGCAGGUUGAAGGUACGGUAACACGUACUGGAGGACCGAACCCAUAUCUGUUGCAAUAGAUCGGGAUGACUUGUGGCUAGGGGUGAAAGGCCAAUCAAACUUGGAGAUAGCUGGUUCUCCGCGAAAUCUAUUUAGGUAGAGCGUCGACCGAAUACCCCCGGGGGUAGAGCACUGGAUGGGCUAUGGGGACUCACCGUCUUACUGAUCCUAACCAAACUCCGAAUACCGGGGAGUACUAGUCGGCAGACACACGGCGGGUGCUAACGUCCGUCGUGGAGAGGGCAACAACCCUGACCACCAUCUAAGGUCCCUAAGUUAUGGCUAAGUGGGAAAGGAUGUGAGGAUCCCAAAACAACCAGGAUGUUGGCUUAGAAGCAGCCAUCAUUUAAAGAAAGCGUAACAGCUCACUGGUCUAAAUAAGGGUCUUUGCGCCGAAAAUGUACCGGGGCUCAAGCCAUACACCGAAGCUGUGGAUGCACGUAUGUGCGUGGUAGCGGAGCGUUCCGUAAGCCUGUGAAGGGACAGUCGUGAGACAUCCUGGAGGUAUCGGAAGUGAGAAUGCUGACAUGAGUAACGAUAAAGGGAGUGAGAGACUCCCUCGCCGAAAGUCCAAGGGUUCCUGCUUAAAGUUAAUCUGAGCAGGGUUAGCCGGCCCCUAAGGCGAGGCCGAAAGGCGUAGUCGAUGGGAACCACGUUAAUAUUCGUGGGCCUGCAGGUGGUGACGG
This 1300-nucleotide ribosomal RNA is filed under the name Brucella abortus 544. RNAcentral's name for it is "bacterial LSU rRNA". It matches the Rfam family "Bacterial large subunit ribosomal RNA", at positions 111 to 1460 of the family's 2925-position model. The record is from RNAcentral. Lineage: Bacteria; Pseudomonadati; Pseudomonadota; Alphaproteobacteria; Hyphomicrobiales; Brucellaceae.